Molecule: long non-coding RNA, 783 nt
Organism: Rhagoletis zephyria (snowberry fruit fly)
Lineage: Eukaryota; Metazoa; Arthropoda; Insecta; Diptera; Tephritidae
Source: RefSeq, a predicted model, not a curated record
GUUUGCUUUGCUUUACUUUGAAGGCUUUUAUGGCCUAAUGGUAGCUUUGAACGCUGUCAUAGUAGUCAGCUGAUUUUCAAUGCGCGCAAAUAUACCCGCCAUUCUUUGUUGUGCCAGCAAGUAUAAUUGUGAAUUUUAGUUAAAAUAUAUGUUAUUAAACAAUUAUUUGUUACUAAGAACAUUAUUUUUUACAGAUACCUUGCUUUUUUAUCGUUCCGGUUUUGGUGAAGCUGCAUUUGGCUGCGCCACUCACCACCCGUGUUUAUAAGACGUAAUAUUCAAUUGGAGAUACCUUGCUUUUUAUCGUUCCGGCCACCAGAUUCGUUGGUUUUCAUAAAGUUUCAUUUGGCAGUACAAAAUGUUGACUCGAAAUGCUGAACAAGUUUUGAGAAUUUUCCUAAUUUUAGCGAAAAUGCGUAAAUUAAAACUGCGAUUAAAACAGAAGCGCCGAUUUUGGGUUCGGAAAUUGUACUUAGAGCGACACAAAUAUGGAUUGUUUGAAAGUUCAUUAAGAAACUUGGCUGCAGAUGAGGAGCAGUUUAACAAGACAUUAAGAAUGCCCUUUUCGUUAUUUAAUGUGCUGCACGAAUUUCUGGAGGCUUCGCUGACCAAAUAUUCAAUCAGAACACCAAUAUCGAGCCGCUGCAGACUAUUUAUAACCCUGAUAUAUUUGGCUCACGGUGGCACUCGGCAAUUCCACACAAUAGUUCACAGGAUCGGCCUGACGACUUUCAGGAAGAUUACGUUGGAGACAUGUAUGACCAUAUGGGAUCUGUUAGCUGA